CAAGAAAGCCGAAGGCUACUUAAAACCAUCGCGAACGUAUCCAAGUUGCUAUCGGCGGCGCGGCUCACCCCUCACGGGGACCGCAGCCCCACGCCUCUCAGGAGGUAAGGGGCAGCCGCCGAGAGGUACGAAACUCUGUAUUAUAGUGGUAUCUCUGAGUAUUAAAACAAAAUUAAGUUA
This 180-nucleotide unclassified non-coding RNA is filed under the name soil metagenome. RNAcentral's name for it is "partial internal transcribed spacer 1". The record is from RNAcentral.